CAAUAGCGUAUAUUAAAGUUGUUGCGGUUAAAAAGCUCGUAGUUGGAUUUCUGCUGAGAACGACCGGUCCGCCCUUUGGGUGUGUAUCUGGCUCUUUCUUGGCAUCUUCUUGGUGAACGUUGCUGCACUUGACUGUGUGGAGCGCUACCCAGGACUUUUACUUUGAGGAAAUUAGAGUGUUUCAAGCAGGCAUACGCCUUGAAUACAUUAGCAUGGAAUAAUAAGAUAGGACCUCGGUUCUAUUUUGUUGGUUUCUAGAGCUGAGGUAAUGAUUAAUAGGGAUAGUUGGGGGCAUUCGUAUUUAACUGUCAGAGGUGAAACUCUUGGAUUUGUUAAAGACGGACUACUGCGAAAGCAUUUGCCAAGGAUGUUUUCAUUGA
This 380-nucleotide ribosomal RNA is filed under the name uncultured eukaryote. RNAcentral's name for it is "partial 18S ribosomal RNA". It matches the Rfam family "Eukaryotic small subunit ribosomal RNA", at positions 592 to 976 of the family's 1831-position model. The record is from RNAcentral.